Molecule: long non-coding RNA, 503 nt
Organism: Carassius gibelio (silver crucian carp)
Lineage: Eukaryota; Metazoa; Chordata; Actinopteri; Cypriniformes; Cyprinidae
Exons: 2
Source: RefSeq, a predicted model, not a curated record
AUAUUGAUUUUACGUUGUGACGUCAUAUCUGUUCAGCCCGCGCUGCGUCCUCAGACCGCGCUGAGCACGCUGAGGAGAGGUAAGCAGUUAGCGGUGCUCCGCCAAUAUAAAGUUGUAAAAGUUACCAGAAUUGUUAAUAAGUACUUAAUAUGCUAAAAUAUUAUUGUUAAGAGUGUUACAAACGUACUGAAAAUUGUUUUAUGUGUGGAUGGAUGACAUCUAAUGGUUUAUCAUUGAGUACAGCGGUUUGAGUAUGUAUGUGCGUCAGUAGGACACAGUGAUUUUAGUGAAUCAAUUAACUGGUGUUGUAUCUGUCCAGGUGGAAAAAUCACAGAACGAAAACCUUUCUCAUUGUUGUACUCUCUCUGCUCCAUCCAGACCGCGCUGAGCACGCUGAGGAGAGGUGGAAAAAUCACAGAACGAAAACCUUUCUCAUUGUUGUACUCUCUCUGCUCCAUCCAGCACCUGCAUGCUCCAUUUCAAUAAACCCUCCAUCAGCAGCA